Molecule: ribosomal RNA, 460 nt
Filed under: uncultured bacterium
Lineage: Bacteria
Description: partial 16S ribosomal RNA
Rfam family: Bacterial small subunit ribosomal RNA
Source: RNAcentral
CCUACGGGAUGCAGCAGUGAGGAAUAUUGGUCAAUGGGCGCAAGCCUGAACCAGCCAAGUAGCGUGAAGGAUGACUGCCCUCCGGGUUGUAAACUUCUUUUAUAAAGGAAUAAAGUGAGGCACGUGUGCCUUUUUGUAUGUACUUUAUGAAUAAGGAUCGGCUAACUCCGUGCCAGCAGCCGCGGUAAUACGGAGGAUCCGAGCGUUAUCCGGAUUUAUUGGGUUUAAAGGGAGCGUAGGUGGGUUGUUAAGUCAGUUGUGAAAGUUUGCGGCUCAACCGUAAAAUUGCAAUUGAGACUGGGAGUCUUGAGUACAGUUGAGGUAGGCGGAAUUCGUGGUGUAGCGGUGAAAUGCUUAGAUAUCACGAAGAACUCCGAUUGCGAAGGCAGCUUACUAAACUGCAACUGACAUUGAUGCUCGAAAGUGUGGGUAUCAAACAGGAGUAGAUACCCUAGUAGUC